AGGAAUUUGAAGCUCAGAGAGAGUCAAUGAGUACUCUUGUUGUGAUUGCUUCAACAUUAUCCCAACUUCGCCAAAAGGAUCCAAGUUUAACCCCAGAACUCAUUGCAAAAGUAAUUGUUUCUACUGCUACAAAUGGUGCAACAUAAUUUAUCGACACUAGAAGUCUCAUCUAUCAUGGUUGACUAAAGGAUGGUACAGAAUACACAAACUCUACGAGUUUCUCCAAAUUUGUGAAGAAUCAUUGGAUUUAUGUCUUGGGCACAUUAAAAUUAGGUAGACUUUGGAAUAUAAUAUAAUAAUGAGUUUUGAUUUGAUUUUUGGACAUUAGUUUUAGUUGAUGUAAUUAAAGAUAAUAGCGUUUGUUUGGAUGACUAAUGUAGAUUUUGGAAUAUAAUAUAAUAUAUUUAUUUUGAUAUA
Beta vulgaris subsp. vulgaris (sugar beet) is the source of this 417-nucleotide long non-coding RNA. RefSeq lists it as uncharacterized. The record is from RefSeq and is a predicted model, not a curated record. NCBI's taxonomy places the organism in Eukaryota, Viridiplantae, Streptophyta, Magnoliopsida, Caryophyllales, Amaranthaceae. The transcript is spliced from 2 exons.